RNAcentral lists this small nucleolar RNA (97 nucleotides) under Nannospalax galili (Upper Galilee mountains blind mole rat). RNAcentral describes it as "Small nucleolar RNA SNORA28 (ENSNGAG00000002141.1)". It matches the Rfam family "Small nucleolar RNA SNORA28", at positions 30 to 126 of the family's 126-position model. Rfam says of the family: ACA28 is a member of the H/ACA class of snoRNA that guide the sites of modification of uridines to pseudouridines. The record is from RNAcentral. Lineage: Eukaryota; Metazoa; Chordata; Mammalia; Rodentia; Spalacidae.
AAGUCAGAGACAAUUUGAGCUUGCUAUAGCAAGAAAGUCUAACCUACUGUGGUAUUCUCCUCCCCAUGAGACAACCCAUUAUAUAGGCUCAAACAAU